UGGGGAAUUUUGGACAAUGGGGGCAACCCUGAUCCAGCCAUUCCGCGUGAGUGAAGAAGGCCUUCGGGUUGUAAAGCUCUUUCAGCAGGAACGAAACGGUCGGCUUUAAUAAAGUCGGCUAAUGACGGUACCUGCAGAAGAAGCACCGGCUAACUACGUGCCAGCAGCCGCGGUAAUACGUAGGGUGCGAGCGUUAAUCGGAAUUACUGGGCGUAAAGCGUGCGCAGGCGGCGACAUAAGACAGAUGUGAAAUCCCCGGGCUCAACCUGGGAACUGCGUUUGUGACUGUGUUGCUAGAGUGUAGCAGAGGGGGUGGAAUUCCACGUGUAGCAGUGAAAUGCGUAGAGAUGUGGAGGAACACCGAUGGCGAAGGCAGCCCCCUGGGAUAACACUGACGCUCAUGCACGAAAGCGUGGGGAGCAAACAGGAUUAGAUACCCACGUAGUCCCUGAGCGGGCUGGCAAGGCGCAU
Molecule: ribosomal RNA, 471 nt
Filed under: uncultured bacterium
Lineage: Bacteria
Description: bacterial SSU rRNA
Rfam family: Bacterial small subunit ribosomal RNA
Source: RNAcentral